CUCUGCAUAGGAAAGUGACCCUGGGCUGCCCGUGUCCCGGUCAUUGAUAGUGCUGGGAGAGGAAUUGUUUGGAGGGUCCACUCCUGUCCCUUCCAGACCGUGAAGCUUUUUCACA
Trichechus manatus latirostris (Florida manatee) is the source of this 115-nucleotide small nucleolar RNA. RefSeq annotates it as small nucleolar RNA SNORA71. The transcript has a single exon. The record is from RefSeq and is a predicted model, not a curated record. Lineage: Eukaryota; Metazoa; Chordata; Mammalia; Sirenia; Trichechidae.